This 447-nucleotide ribosomal RNA is filed under the name uncultured bacterium. RNAcentral's name for it is "partial 16S ribosomal RNA". It matches the Rfam family "Bacterial small subunit ribosomal RNA", at positions 338 to 795 of the family's 1533-position model. The record is from RNAcentral.
CCUACGGGCGACAGCAGUAGGGAAUUUUCGGCAAUGGGGGGAACCCUGACCGAGCAACGCCGCGUGAACGAAGAAGUAUUUCGGUAUGUAAAGUUCUUUUAUUGGAGAAGAAAGAGAAAUUUGACGGUAACCAAUGAAUAAGCUCCGGCUAACUACGUGCCAGCAGCCGCGGUAAUACGUAGGGAGCGAGCGUUAUCCGGAAUUAUUGGGCGUAAAGGGUGCGUAGAUGGUUGAUAUAAGUCUUUUGUAAAAAUGCUAGGCUCAACCUAGUAGGGCAAAAGAUACUGAUGAACUAGAGUACGGCAGAGGCAAGUGGAACUACAUGUGUAGCGGUAAAAUGCGUAAAUAUAUGUAAGAACACCGGUGGCGAAGGCGACUAUCUGGCACAUAACUGACGCUGAGGAGCGAAAGCGUGGGUAGCAAACAGGAUUAGAUACCCUUGUAGUC